Long non-coding RNA from Zingiber officinale, 225 nucleotides. RefSeq lists it as uncharacterized. Lineage: Eukaryota; Viridiplantae; Streptophyta; Magnoliopsida; Zingiberales; Zingiberaceae. The record is from RefSeq and is a predicted model, not a curated record. The transcript has 3 exons.
UAUGAUGGAGUAUUAUUCGUUUCUAUAAAAAGCCAACACAUUUACUCAGCUUUGUGGUUUCUACAGAUACCGAACGUGUAGCUCAGAGAUGCCUGGUUCACUGGGGUAUGAGAAGAAAAAUGCUGAAACUUUUGCUGCAUGGGGAAUAGAUUACCUAAGUAUGACAACUGCAACAAUGGAGAUUUGAAACCCAUGGAGAGAGUGACUAAAAGUCUUGAAAAGAAC